AGUGAACGCUGGCGGUAGGCCUAACACAUGCAAGUCGAACGGCAGCACAGUAAGAGCUUGCUCUUACGGGUGGCGAGUGGCGGACGGGUGAGGAAUACAUCGGAAUCUACUUUUUCGUGGGGGAUAACGUAGGGAGACUUACGCUAAUACCGCAUACGACCUACGGGUGAAAGCAGGGGAUCUUCGGACCUUGCGCGUUUGAAUGAGCCGAUGUCGGAUUAGCUAGUUGGCGGGGUAAAGGCCCACCAAGGCGACGAUCCGUAGCUGGUCUGAGAGGAUGAUCAGCCACACUGGAACUGAGACACGGUCCAGACUCCUACGGGAGGCAGCAGUGGGGAAUAUUGGACAAUGGGCGCAAGCCUGAUCCAGCCAUACCGCGUGGGUGAAGAAGGCCUUCGGGUUGUAAAGCCCUUUUGUUGGGAAAGAAAAGCAGCAGGUUAAUACCCCGCUGUUCUGACGGUACCCAAAGAAUAAGCACCGGCUAACUUCGUG
RNAcentral lists this ribosomal RNA (492 nucleotides) under uncultured bacterium. RNAcentral's name for it is "partial 16S ribosomal RNA". It matches the Rfam family "Bacterial small subunit ribosomal RNA", at positions 29 to 507 of the family's 1533-position model. The record is from RNAcentral.